RNAcentral lists this ribosomal RNA (253 nucleotides) under uncultured bacterium. RNAcentral's name for it is "partial 16S ribosomal RNA". It matches the Rfam family "Bacterial small subunit ribosomal RNA", at positions 524 to 776 of the family's 1533-position model. The record is from RNAcentral.
UACAGAGGUCUCGAGCGUUAGGCGGAAUCACUGGGCUUAAAGCGUGUGUAGGUGGAUCGUUAAGUACCUUGUGAAAUCCCACGGCUUAACCGUGGAACUGCUUGGUAUACUGGCGGUCUUGAGCCAGCUAGGGGCUACCGGAACAAAUGGUGGAGCGGUGAAAUGCGUAGAUAUCAUUUGGAACGCCAAUGGUGAAAACAGGUAGCUGGGGCUGUGCUGACGCUGAGACGCGAAGGCGUGGGGAGCGAACGGG